This 217-nucleotide long non-coding RNA is filed under the name Lathyrus oleraceus (garden pea). RNAcentral's name for it is "Pisum sativum (pea) long non-coding RNA (PSAT_LNC013747)". Lineage: Eukaryota; Viridiplantae; Streptophyta; Magnoliopsida; Fabales; Fabaceae. The record is from RNAcentral.
CUUUUUAGCCCCUGCACAUUGGUGCAAAUGUGAGAACCGCAUCCAGCAUCUAAUACCCAUGAUACAGAAGUAGAUAAAUUAAUUUCAAUAACAAAAAUACCUGAAGUUGAAGUCUCUACUCCAUUCUUCUUAUCUUCCAUGUACUUUGGGCAGUUUCUCUUCCAGUGUCCGGUCUUACCACAAUGGAAGCAGACGCCUUCCUUUGCUAUGCCUCCAC